UGUGAAGGCGCUCUGUGGCUGUUCAGGUUGUUGAACUACUUCGAAACAGAACUAAGGCACACUGAUCCUGACAAGGCUCCAUCUACGUGCAGGUUUCUCAAACAAGGUUUGGGAUCUGCCAGAAAGGAAACAACCUAUCUUCUUUGAAAUCUCAUCUGAAAAUUUAUCCCUUAUCUGUCAUGUCGCGGCACUUCUCCACGCGGCGCUUGAGUCCUUUGCCGGGGCCUCAUGUCCCGGCAAGCAGGAGACUAUAUUCUUCCGGCAACUUCCCCUCCGGCAAAGUACAUGCCGACAGUUCUCGACUGUUGUAUAGAAGGGGGUUGCCGGAGCAUGAC
Molecule: long non-coding RNA, 335 nt
Filed under: Hordeum vulgare
Lineage: Eukaryota; Viridiplantae; Streptophyta; Magnoliopsida; Poales; Poaceae
Description: long non-coding RNA (HVUL_LNC019327)
Source: RNAcentral